Molecule: ribosomal RNA, 468 nt
Filed under: uncultured bacterium
Lineage: Bacteria
Description: partial 16S ribosomal RNA
Rfam family: Bacterial small subunit ribosomal RNA
Source: RNAcentral
GACGAACGCUGGCGGCGUGCUUAACACAUGCAAGUCGAACGGAAAGGCCCUGCUUUUGUGGGGUGCUCGAGUGGCGAACGGGUGAGUAACACGUGAGUAACCUGCCCUUGACUUUGGGAUAACUUCAGGAAACUGGGGCUAAUACCGGAUAGGAGCUCCUGCUGCAUGGUGGUGGUUGGAAAGUUUCGGCGGUUGGGGAUGGACUCGCGGCUUAUCAGCUUGUUGGUGGGGUAGUGGCUUACCAAGGCUUUGACGGGUAGCCGGCCUGAGAGGGUGACCGGCCACAUUGGGACUGAGAUACGGCCCAGACUCCUACGGGAGGCAGCAGUGGGGAAUAGUGCACAAUGGGCGGAAGCCUGAUGCAGCAACGCCGCGUGCGGGAUGACGGCCUUCGGGUUGUAAACCGCUUUCGCCUGUGACGAAGCGUGAGUGUCGGUAAUGGGUAAAGAAGCACCGGCUAACUACGUG